GAUCGAGUUUGAUCCUGGCUCAGGAUGAACGCUAGCGGCAGGCCUAAUACAUGCAAGUCGAACGGUGUAGCAAUACAUAGUGGCGCACGGGUGCGUAACACGUAUGCAACCUACCUUAUACUUAGGGAUAGCCUUUGGAAACGGAGAUUAAUACUUAAUGGUAUAUUAGACUGGCAUCGGUUUGAUAUUAAAGAUUUAUUGGUAUAAGAUGGGCAUGCGUCCAAUUAGUUAGUUGGUGAGGUAACGGCUCACCAAGACGAUGAGUUGGUAGGGGAACUGAGAGGUUAACUCCCCGACACUGGCACUGAGACUACGGGGCCAGACUCCGUACGGGAGGCAGC
RNAcentral lists this ribosomal RNA (341 nucleotides) under uncultured Arcicella sp. RNAcentral's name for it is "bacterial SSU rRNA". It matches the Rfam family "Bacterial small subunit ribosomal RNA", at positions 1 to 352 of the family's 1533-position model. Lineage: Bacteria; Pseudomonadati; Bacteroidota; Cytophagia; Cytophagales; Flectobacillaceae. The record is from RNAcentral.